Molecule: ribosomal RNA, 409 nt
Filed under: bacterium
Lineage: Bacteria
Description: partial 16S ribosomal RNA
Rfam family: Bacterial small subunit ribosomal RNA
Source: RNAcentral
UGGGGAAUAUUGCACAAUGGGCGAAAGCCUGAUGCAGCGACGCCGCGUGAGGGAUGACGGCCUUCGGGUUGUAAACCUCUUUCAGUAGGGACGAAGCGCAAGUGACGGUACCUACAGAAGAAGCACCGGCCAACUACGUGCCAGCAGCCGCGGUAAUACGUAGGGUGCGAGCGUUGUCCGGAUUUACUGGGCGUAAAGAGCUCGUAGGCGGUUUGUCACGUCGUCUGUGAAAACCCGAGGCUUAACCUCGGGCCUGCAGGCGAUACGGGCAGACUUGAGUACUGUAGGGGAGACUGGAAUUCCUGGUGUAGCGGUGGAAUGCGCAGAUAUCAGGAGGAACACCGGUGGCGAAGGCGGGUCUCUGGGGAGUAACUGACGCUGAGGAGCGAAAGCGUGGGUAGCGAACAGG